GACGAACGCUGGCGGCGUGCCUAAUACAUGCCAGUCGAGCGGACAGACGGGAGCUUGCUCCCUGAUGUUAGCGGCGGACGGGUGAGUAACACGUGGGUAACCUGCCUGUAAGACUGGGAUAACUCCGGGAAACCGGGGCUAAUACCGGAUGGUUGUCUGAACCGCAUGGUUCAGACAUAAAAGGUGGCUUCGGCUACCACUUACAGAUGGACCCGCGGCGCAUUAGCUAGUUGGUGAGGUAACGGCUCACCAAGGCAACGAUGCGUAGCCGACCUGAGAGGGUGAUCGGCCACACUGGGACUGAGACACGGCCCAGACUCCUACGGGAGGCAGCAGUAGGGAAUCUUCCGCAAUGGACGAAAGUCUGACGGAGCAACGCCGCGUGAGUGAUGAAGGUUUUCGGAUCGUAAAGCUCUGUUGUUAGGGAAGAACAAGGGCCGUUCAAAUAGGGCGGCACCUUGACGGUACCUAACCAGAAAGCCACGGCUAACUACGUG
Molecule: ribosomal RNA, 497 nt
Filed under: uncultured bacterium
Lineage: Bacteria
Description: partial 16S ribosomal RNA
Rfam family: Bacterial small subunit ribosomal RNA
Source: RNAcentral